Long non-coding RNA from Mastomys coucha (southern multimammate mouse), 291 nucleotides. RefSeq lists it as uncharacterized. The transcript is spliced from 2 exons. The record is from RefSeq and is a predicted model, not a curated record. NCBI's taxonomy places the organism in Eukaryota, Metazoa, Chordata, Mammalia, Rodentia, Muridae.
UUUCCAGCCCAAUAGAUCCUGCUUUGAUCUCCAUUUGUCCAAGCCUAGGGAACAUUUAUCGUGCCUUCAGAACAUGGGUUUGUGGUCUCCUUUAAAGAGUAGAGAGUGGCCCCGUUGGCCUGGCAAGGUGCCCUGCCAGUCCUGGGACUUCAGGAGACCGUCUGCCAGACCAGAGAGCCCUCCACCCCAGGGAGCCCCACAGGAACCCAGACUUAAGUCCCACCAAGUGGGUUUUUCCUGAGAGCUAAGAAGACAGACACCACAGCCAGUGGAAUACAAAAAUAGAGCCUC